Molecule: ribosomal RNA, 537 nt
Filed under: uncultured bacterium
Lineage: Bacteria
Description: bacterial SSU rRNA
Rfam family: Bacterial small subunit ribosomal RNA
Source: RNAcentral
ACGGGUGCGUAACGCGUGGGAAUCUGCCCUUGGGUUCGGAAUAACAGUUAGAAAUGACUGCUAAUACCGGAUGAUGACGUAAGUCCAAAGAUUUAUCGCCCAGGGAUGAGCCCGCGUAGGAUUAGCUAGUUGGUGAGGUAAAGGCUCACCAAGGCUACGAUCCUUAGCUGGUCUGAGAGGAUGAUCAGCCACACUGGGACUGAGACACGGCCCAGACUCCUACGGGAGGCAGCAGUAGGGAAUAUUGGACAAUGGGGGCAACCCUGAUCCAGCAAUGCCGCGUGAGCGAUGAAGGCCUUAGGGUUGUAAAGCUCUUUUACCCGGGAUGAUAAUGACAGUACCGGGAGAAUAAGCCCCGGCUAACUCCGUGCCAGCAGCCGCGGUAAUACGGAGGGGGCUAGCGUUGUUCGGAAUUACUGGGCGUAAAGCGCACGUAGGCGGCUAUUCAAGUCAGAGGUGAAAGCCCGGGGCUCAACCCCGGAACUGCCUUUGAAACUAGAUAGCUUGAAUCACGGAGAGGUGGGUGGAAUUCCGAGU